This 310-nucleotide long non-coding RNA is filed under the name Malus domestica (apple). RNAcentral describes it as "long non-coding RNA (MDOM_LNC008851)". The record is from RNAcentral. Lineage: Eukaryota; Viridiplantae; Streptophyta; Magnoliopsida; Rosales; Rosaceae.
UUCAUCAAUGGAACACAACUACAAUCCUCAAAGGCUUCGCACUAUCUUCAUCAAGAUAGUGUGAAGCAAAAUCAAUUUAUGGUGCCAACAAAAACUUCAUCAAUGGAGGACAAAUAUCAAUCUCAAAAGAUUUGCACUAUCUUCAUCAAGAUAGUGUGAAGCAAAAUCAAUUUAUGGUGCCAACAAAAGCUUCAUCAAUGGAGGACAAAUAUCAAUCUCAAAAGCUUUGCACUAUCUUCAUCAAGAUAGUGUGAAGCAAACUCAAUUUAUGGUGCCAACAAAAGCUUCAUCAAUGGAGAACAAAUAUCAA